GAUGAACGCUAGCGGCAGGCCUAAUACAUGCAAGUCGAACGAGAUUAAGAGGCUUGCUUCUUAUGAAAGUGGCGCACGGGUGCGUAACGCGUAUGCAACCUACCUUAAUCAGGGGGAUAGCCCGAAGAAAUUCGGAUUAAGACCGCAUAAAAACACAGGAUAGCAUUAUCCAAUGUUCAAAUAUUUAUAGGAUUAAGAUGGGCAUGCGUGUCAUUAGCUAGUUGGCGGGGUAACGGCCCACCAAGGCGACGAUGACUAGGGGAUCUGAGAGGAUGACCCCCCACACUGGUACUGAGACACGGACCAGACUCCUACGGGAGGCAGCAGUAAGGAAUAUUGGUCAAUGGAGGGAACUCUGAACCAGCCAUGCCACGUGCAGGAAGACAGCCCUCGGGGUCGUAAACUGCUUUUAUUCGGGAAUAAGCCUUUCUACGUGUAGGAAGCUGAAUGUACCGAAGGAAUAAGAAUCGGCUAACUCCGUG
This 482-nucleotide ribosomal RNA is filed under the name uncultured bacterium. RNAcentral describes it as "partial 16S ribosomal RNA". It matches the Rfam family "Bacterial small subunit ribosomal RNA", at positions 28 to 507 of the family's 1533-position model. The record is from RNAcentral.